Molecule: ribosomal RNA, 628 nt
Filed under: Agabus didymus
Lineage: Eukaryota; Metazoa; Arthropoda; Insecta; Coleoptera; Dytiscidae
Description: partial 16S ribosomal RNA
Rfam family: Bacterial large subunit ribosomal RNA
Source: RNAcentral
GUCCUUUUGACUUUAAUUUAAGGUUUAACCUGCCCACUGAAAUUAUUUAAAGGGCCGCAGUAAUUUGACUGUGCAAAGGUAGCAUAAUCAUUAGUUUUUUAAUUAAAAGCUUGUAUGAAGGGUUGGACGAGGUAAAAUCUGUCUCUAUUUAAUUUAUUUUAGAAUUUAAUUUUUAAGUUAAAAAGCUUAAAUUUUUUUAAAAGACGAGAAGACCCUAUAGAUCUUUAUAUUAUAUUUAUUAAUUUUAAUUAGGAAUAUUUUAUUUUUUAAUAUUUAUAUUAUUUUAUUGGGGUAAUAAAAAGAUUAAAUUAAUUCUUUUUUAUUAUAACAUUAAUUAAUGAUUAUAUGAUCCAUUUUUAUUGAUUAAAAGAUUAAGUUACCUUAGGGAUAACAGCGUAAUUUUUUUAGAGAGUUCAUAUCGAUAAGAAAGUUUGCGACCUCGAUGUUGGAUUAAAAAUUAUCUUAGGUGCAGAAUUUUAAGAUUUUGGUCUGUUCGACCAUUAAAUUUUUACAUGAUCUGAGUUCAGACCGGCGUAAGCCAGGUCGGUUUCUAUCUUUAAUAAUUUAUAGUAUUUUAGUACGAAAGGACCAAAUAUUUAAUAUAUUUAUAUUUAAUUAUUUUGAAUAU